UACGGAGGGUCCAAGCGUUAUCCGGAAUCAUUGGGUUUAAAGGGUCCGUAGGCGGUUUAGUAAGUCAGUGGUGAAAGCCCAUCGCUCAACGGUGGAACGGCCAUUGAUACUGCUAGACUUGAAUUAUUAGGAAGUAACUAGAAUAUGUAGUGUAGCGGUGAAAUGCUUAGAUAUUACAUGGAAUACCAAUUGCGAAGGCAGGUUACUACUAAUAUAUUGACGCUGAUGGACGAAAGCGUGGGUAGCGAACAGG
Molecule: ribosomal RNA, 253 nt
Filed under: uncultured bacterium
Lineage: Bacteria
Description: partial 16S ribosomal RNA
Rfam family: Bacterial small subunit ribosomal RNA
Source: RNAcentral